This is a long non-coding RNA of Bactrocera dorsalis (oriental fruit fly), 251 nucleotides long. RefSeq lists it as uncharacterized. NCBI's taxonomy places the organism in Eukaryota, Metazoa, Arthropoda, Insecta, Diptera, Tephritidae. The record is from RefSeq and is a predicted model, not a curated record. The transcript has 2 exons.
AUCAAAUGCAGAUACAAUUUAUCCAUAUUGCUAUCAAGUACACUGUGACAAUUCACUUAAUUUUCUUAAUUGAUUUUAGGCUAUAUUUAGCUUCUCUCACGAAUAAUUUUUAUUUUUAGGAUGACAACCGUUUUAAGGUCUCAUAAAAUAUUUUAUUUUAUUGUUCUCCGCUAAAUAUCAAAAAACACCAACUUUUUCGCUGCAAAAUUUGGCAGGAAAAUCUCUUUUCCGUGCAAUAUGUUUUAAGGCAA